GGAAGAGUGGCGAACGGGUGAGGAACACGUAAGAAUCUGCCCCUCGGUCGGGGACAACUUUUGGAAACGAAAGCUAAUACCCGAUACGCUGUGGAGUGAAAGAAUUUCGCCGAGAGAUGAUCUUGCGUCUGAUUAGCUAGUUGGUGUGGUAAAGGCACACCAAGGCGACGAUCAGUAGCUGGUCUGAGAGGAUGGACAGCCACAUUGGAACUGAGACACGGUCCAAACUUC
This 231-nucleotide ribosomal RNA is filed under the name uncultured bacterium. RNAcentral's name for it is "partial 16S ribosomal RNA". It matches the Rfam family "Bacterial small subunit ribosomal RNA", at positions 89 to 339 of the family's 1533-position model. The record is from RNAcentral.